Molecule: long non-coding RNA, 617 nt
Filed under: Oryctolagus cuniculus (rabbit)
Lineage: Eukaryota; Metazoa; Chordata; Mammalia; Lagomorpha; Leporidae
Description: lncRNA (ENSOCUG00000035057.1)
Source: RNAcentral
UGGGUUGCCCCCACACAGGGUAAUACCCAUUAAGAAUGGGUCAGGGGAUUGCCCAAAGUGAGGAUGGGGAGAGAAAGAGGGGGGGAGAGAGAGCGCCUGUGGAUCUCCCUGAACGCUAGCCUCUUUUGUGAGGUAGGGGAUUGUGCCCUGCAGACAUGAAGCUACCUGGGAUUUUUAAGGUACCUCCAUAAAUAGCAUGUAGAGCUUAUAUCCGUAUUUUCAUGGUGUUCCCCUUAGGUCCAGGAGGAAGCAGGUGCAUCCCGGAAAAGAGGACGUUUUGAUUGACAAGCAGAGGGCUAGCAUUACAUUGUGGGUUUGCAGGGACUUCCCGCUCACAUAGAACUAAAGUACCUAGUUACACCACAUCAGUUUUUCUGAUGCAGAACUUCUUUGUUUCAACAGGAGCUGUUUCUCCCCAGGGCAAUGGUGGUGGUUAGUGAAAUAUUCUCAUGAAUUUAUGCCUUUAAACAGCCUGUUCCCAAGAUGGAGGAAUCUGCUUUGGAAUUCAACUCCUGUGAGCCAUGCAGCAAGCUGUCACGCAGACCACACAAAUCAUGUCCCUGCAUCUAACAGAGUUCCCCAAGGUAUUCAGCAAUCUGCUGUGAUGCUUAUCUCAA